UCAACAACGGAUCUCUUGGUUCUGGCAUCGAUGAAGAACGCAGCGAAAUGCGAUACGUAGUGUGAAUUGCAGAAUUCAGUGAAUCAUCGAAUCUUUGAACGCACAUUGCGCCCUUUGGUAUUCCAAAGGGCAUGCCUGUUCGAGCGUCAUU
RNAcentral lists this ribosomal RNA (151 nucleotides) under Stemphylium gracilariae. RNAcentral describes it as "5.8S ribosomal RNA". It matches the Rfam family "5.8S ribosomal RNA". Rfam says of the family: 5.8S ribosomal RNA (5.8S rRNA) is a component of the large subunit of the eukaryotic ribosome. It is transcribed by RNA polymerase I as part of the 45S precursor that also contains 18S and 28S rRNA. RNAcentral also lists the same sequence under 14 other names. The record is from RNAcentral. Lineage: Eukaryota; Fungi; Ascomycota; Dothideomycetes; Pleosporales; Pleosporaceae.